RNAcentral lists this ribosomal RNA (781 nucleotides) under uncultured bacterium. RNAcentral's name for it is "bacterial SSU rRNA". It matches the Rfam family "Bacterial small subunit ribosomal RNA", at positions 8 to 796 of the family's 1533-position model. The record is from RNAcentral.
AGAGUUUGAUCAUGGCUCAGAAUCAACGCUGGCGGCGUGCCUAACACAUGCAAGUCGAGCGAGAAAAGGGGAGCAAUCCUCUGAGUAAAGCGGCGCACGGGUGAGUAACACGUGGGUAAUCUGCCCUGAAGUGGGGAAUAACACCGGGAAACCGGUGCUAAUACCGCAUAUGAUCACGGUGUCUGCGGACACAGGGAUGAAAGGAGCAAUUCGCUUCAGGAGGAGCCCGCGGCUGAUUAGCUAGUUGGUGAGGUAAUGGCCCACCAAGGCUACGAUCAGUAUCCGGUCUGAGAGGACGGUCGGACACACUGGAACUGAGACACGGUCCAGACUCCUACGGGAGGCAGCAGUGGGGAAUUUUUCGCAAUGGGGGCAACCCUGACGAAGCAACGCCGCGUGGAUGAUGAAGUAUCUCGGUACGUAAAAUCCUUUCGACAGGGAAGAAACCGCAAGGUUGACGGUACCUGUAGAAGAAGCCCCGGCUAACUCCGUGCCAGCAGCCGCGGUAAUACGGGGGGGCUAGCGUUGUUCGGAAUUACUGGGCGUAAAGGGCGCGUAGGCGGUCUGCUAAGUUGGAUGUGAAAACUCUGGGCUUAACCCAGAGCCUGCAUUCAAUACUGACAGGCUAGAGUUCUGGAGGGGAUAGCGGAAUUCCUGGUGUAGCGGUGAAAUGCGUAGAUAUCAGGAGGAACACCGGUGGCGAAGGCGGCUAUCUGGACAGAGUCUGACGCUGAGGCGCGAAAGCUAGGGGAGCAAACAGGAUUAGAUACCCUAGUAGUCC